AUCUGAAUCAUACGGACAAUUAAAGGAAUCAUGGUAAAGACGAUAGCAAGUAUCUUGCUUCUUUUCAUGUGUUUCGGGGCAGCGAGUGCACAAUGCAGUUUUCCAUGUUUCCGCAUUGAUGUAGGAACUUGGGUUAAUGACAGAGUAACCUUAGAAUUUUCGUGUUCAAAUACGUCAGUUUUAAUAGUGAAUGGUAUGGAGGAAAGGUCAUGUUACGCAAGACGUGGACCAUUUCUUGUAUCAAGAUCGGGAAAUACAUACAGGUGCUUAAAAUAUGCUGCUUAUAACAGUAGAGCCAGCAUAUCCCUUAUCUAUGCUCCCGAACCUAAGACAUUUUUUACAGAGCCAUCCAUUUGUGACGUUUGUACAGGAAGUUUUUCACCAUUAGUUGC
This is a long non-coding RNA of Mytilus californianus (California mussel), 392 nucleotides long. RefSeq lists it as uncharacterized. The transcript is spliced from 5 exons. The record is from RefSeq and is a predicted model, not a curated record. Lineage: Eukaryota; Metazoa; Mollusca; Bivalvia; Mytilida; Mytilidae.